Molecule: transfer RNA, 63 nt
Filed under: Ophidascaris baylisi
Lineage: Eukaryota; Metazoa; Nematoda; Chromadorea; Rhabditida; Anisakidae
Description: tRNA-Lys
Rfam family: tRNA
About the family: Transfer RNA (tRNA) molecules are approximately 80 nucleotides in length. Their secondary structure includes four short double-helical elements and three loops (D, anti-codon, and T loops).
Source: RNAcentral
GGGAUGUUAACUUAAAUUUUAAAGUGUUAGACUUUUAAUCUAAGGAUGGAGUGCCACAUUCUG